This 450-nucleotide ribosomal RNA is filed under the name uncultured bacterium. Its description in RNAcentral is "partial 16S ribosomal RNA". It matches the Rfam family "Bacterial small subunit ribosomal RNA", at positions 354 to 796 of the family's 1533-position model. The record is from RNAcentral.
GUGGGGAAUAUUGGACAAUGGGGGCAACCCUGAUCCAGCAAUGCCGCGUGUGUGAAGAAGGCCUGAGGGUUGUAAAGCACUUUCAGUGGGGAGGAGGAUUGACAGGUUAAGAGUUAGUUAAUUGGACGUUACCCGCAGAAGAAGCACCGGCUAACUCCGUGCCAGCAGCCGCGGUAAUACGGAGGGUGCAAGCGUUAAUCGGAAUUACUGGGCGUAAAGGGUGCGUAGGUGGUUGUAUAAGUUAACUGUGAAAUCCCCGGGCUCAACCUGGGCAGGUCAGUUAAGACUGUAUGACUCGAGUAUGGGAGAGGGUAGUGGAAUUUCCGGUGUAGCGGUGAAAUGCGUAGAGAUCGGAAGGAACACCAGUGGCGAAGGCGGCUACCUGGCCCAAUACUGACACUGAGGCACGAAAGCGUGGGGAGCAAACAGGAUUAGAAACCCGGGUAGUCC